This 253-nucleotide ribosomal RNA is filed under the name uncultured bacterium. RNAcentral's name for it is "partial 16S ribosomal RNA". It matches the Rfam family "Bacterial small subunit ribosomal RNA", at positions 524 to 776 of the family's 1533-position model. The record is from RNAcentral.
UACAGAGGUGGCAAGCGUUGUUCGGAAUUACUGGGCGUAAAGGGCUCGUAGGCGGCCAACUAAGUCAGACGUGAAAUCCCUCGGCUUAACCGGGGAACUGCGUCUGAUACUGAGAGUCUUGAGUCCGGGAGAGGUGAGUGGAACUGCGAGUGUAGAGGUGAAAUUCGUAGAUAUUCGCAAGAACACCAGUGGCGAAGGCGGCUCACUGGCCCGGUACUGACGCUGAGGUGCGAAAGCGUGGGGAGCAAACAGG